RNAcentral lists this long non-coding RNA (1450 nucleotides) under Triticum aestivum (bread wheat). RNAcentral's name for it is "long non-coding RNA (TAES_LNC012919)". The stretch from base 343 to 429 matches the Rfam family "MIR1120/MIR1122 microRNA precursor family". Lineage: Eukaryota; Viridiplantae; Streptophyta; Magnoliopsida; Poales; Poaceae. The record is from RNAcentral.
AUGGACGGCACUUCCAGGCGGCAGUUCCAAGAGAUAUACCACUGAACCAAUCAGCUCCAGCACAGGGUAUGGUCCAAAGUAUUUGAAUUCCAGUUUCAGACAAGGCGUGUUCACCGCUGAACAUUAAGCAUUAGGCUGCAGUUUGUGCAAUACCUUCCCACCCACUUUAAUGGUUUCCUCUGAUCGAUGCUUGUCAGCUUGCAUUUUUGUUUUGUUCUGUGCAUUGGCCAGAUGCCCCUUUCGUCAGUCCAGUUGCACUUGACAUUCCGCCACAAUUUUGUCAGCUUCAGUUGAUGUUGCCAGCUGCACUUAACGUUCUGCCACAAUUUUUACCUUUAUUAAGUACUCCCUUCAUAAAGAAAUAUAAGAGUGUUUAGAUCACUACUUUAGUGAUCUAAACGUUCUUAUAUUUCUUUACGGAGGGAGUAACAAAUUAUGAUUGAGUUGUCAAAGUGUUGUUUUUUAGGCUUUUUCUGGAGCUAGUGAUUAGCCUGCUGAAGUUUUUCUUCUCUGCCCCCUGCCCUUCUGUCUCUCUCGCCAUGCAUAUGCUCUCUCUCUUGUAAAUUAUCUAUUUUAAUAAAAUGUAUUUACUGGCAGGGCCUCGCCUACAGUUUCCCCUAAAAAUUUGUUGUUUUUUUAUGCCACGCAGUCUAGAAAGAUGGCAUGUAUUUUGUACCGAAGGAAGUUGUAAAAUUAUAUUUCAAAUGAUUUGGUAAGCUAGAUGGUUCCACAUUUGCCUCUUUAGGAGUUAUUUGAACCAUUGGUCUCUUGGCCUCUACUGAGAGAAGAUGGCGAAAAUGAUCGGGAAUGUGCUGACAGUAGAAGUUGAAAGUGUUUUUGGUAGAAUUUCUCUGUAUAUUUCUGUUCCUUUCCAAAGGUGCUGAGAUGAUUCAACUUUAGUGUUUUUGGUAGAAUUUCCUUUAUGGUGAAGCUAAUUUUUACUGUUUGAAUCAUAAAAAGUGUUGAGGUUGCAUAACCUGCACUCUUUUCCAUGGAUUAGUAGUACAAAAUGGUUUGCCUAAUGACAUUGGUUGCUCCACAGGUACCUAGAGUUGUAUUCUGGCUACUGAGAUGCAGGAAUUUUCUUCUUUGCUGUGGGUCCGUCCAUUUUGUACGCUUCAGACGGAGAUAUCGACCCCCUAUGUUGCAUGCAUGGUCAACUGGGAAGUGGAAUUGUAGGAUUAAUCGUUCAUUGCUAACUACCUCUGUUAUGUAAAUUCUAGGCGCAAUUAGCCAACUGGCUUGUUGAAGAUACACACUUGCUUCGGUUAAUUAGCGUUUGGGGUACAUCUGCUUUAUGGUCUCCAAGCAAGCUUGCCUGCCUGAUGAUCUUGGCUAAUGUCAUGUGUGUGUUCACCGUCUCUCUGUUUCCGUUUGAUUAUGUUCCAUGUUGUAAUAGGUCUGGAUAUUUGAUUUGACGUAAUAUUCUUGCUUAUGUCCAUUGUGUGCG